RNAcentral lists this ribosomal RNA (239 nucleotides) under uncultured bacterium. Its description in RNAcentral is "partial 16S ribosomal RNA". It matches the Rfam family "Bacterial small subunit ribosomal RNA", at positions 524 to 760 of the family's 1533-position model. The record is from RNAcentral.
UACGUAGGGUGCAAGCGUUAAUCGGAAUUACUGGGCGUAAAGCGUGCGCAGGCGGUUAUGCAAGACAGAUGUGAAAUCCCCGGGCUCAACCUGGGAACUGCAUUUGUGACUGCAUAGCUAGAGUACGGUAGAGGGGGAUGGAAUUCCACGUGUAGCAGUGAAAUGACGUAGAUAUCGGAAGGAACACCAGUGGCGAAAGCGGACUUCCGUGGACCAGUACCGACGUCAGGCACGAAAGC